RNAcentral lists this ribosomal RNA (486 nucleotides) under uncultured bacterium. Its description in RNAcentral is "partial 16S ribosomal RNA". It matches the Rfam family "Bacterial small subunit ribosomal RNA", at positions 30 to 507 of the family's 1533-position model. The record is from RNAcentral.
AUUGAACGCUGGCAGCAUGCCUUACACAUGCAAGUCGAACGGCAGCACGGGUGCUUGCCCCUGGUGGCGAGUGGCGAACGGGUGAGUAAUGCAUCGGAACAUGUCCUAUAGUGGGGGAUAGCCCGGCGAAAGCCGGAUUAAUACCGCAUACGAUCUACGGAUGAAAGCGGGGGACCUUCGGGCCUCGCGCUAUAGGGUUGGCCGAUGGCUGAUUAGCUAGUUGGUGGGGUAAAGGCCUACCAAGGCGACGAUCAGUAGCUGGUCUGAGAGGACGACCAGCCACACUGGGACUGAGACACGGCCCAGACUCCUACGGGAGGCAGCAGUGGGGAAUUUUGGACAAUGGGCGAAAGCCUGAUCCAGCAAUGCCGCGUGUGUGAAGAAGGCCUUCGGGUUGUAAAGCACUUUUGUCCGGAAAGAAAUCCUUGGCCCUAAUACGGUCGGGGGAUGACGGUACCGGAAGAAUAAGCACCGGCUAACUACGUG